CCCUUCUCAAUGAGCUCCUUCCUGCCGUAAAAUCAGUGGCAGCCUGUGGAUUCGCACGAGAAGAAAAUUAAGUGCUCAGUGCUGGCAUAUUCACCUUCUGGCUUCAGAUGGGUGAUUAGCCACGGCUGUGCAACACUG
Small nucleolar RNA from Chelonoidis abingdonii (Abingdon island giant tortoise), 138 nucleotides. Its record names the gene SNORA75. It matches the Rfam family "Small nucleolar RNA SNORA75". Rfam says of the family: U23 belongs to the H/ACA class of snoRNAs. snoRNAs bind a number of proteins (including dyskerin, Gar1p and Nop10p in the case of the H/ACA class) to form snoRNP complexes. This class are thought to guide the sites of modification of uridines to pseudouridines by forming direct base pairing interactions with substrate RNAs. The record is from Ensembl. Lineage: Eukaryota; Metazoa; Chordata; Testudines; Testudinidae.